Molecule: small RNA, 130 nt
Filed under: Serratia marcescens
Lineage: Bacteria; Pseudomonadati; Pseudomonadota; Gammaproteobacteria; Enterobacterales; Yersiniaceae
Also listed under: 5 other names
Description: RtT sRNA
Rfam family: RtT RNA
About the family: This family represents a bacterial cis-regulatory element known as RtT RNA. The exact function of RtT is unknown although it is thought that it may be involved in changing the cellular response in relation to amino acid starvation.
Source: RNAcentral
UUUCAUCUACACGUCGAGAGGAUGAGAAUCUCCGAAGGAGGUUUGAGCCGAACGUAGUGAGACCACGUUGCUUUAGCAACGGCCCGCAGGGCAAGCAUCGAAGAUGCGCAUAAUCCUCUCAUGCCGACCA